CAGGGGAAAGCAAGCGUUUUUCUGUUGGAUUUCGAGUCAGGUCUUUGAGCGCUGCUAUAUGCACAAAAUGUAAAUCUGAAUAAAUAAUUUUUUGUAAUUAAA
This is a long non-coding RNA of Eurytemora carolleeae, 102 nucleotides long. RefSeq lists it as uncharacterized. The transcript is spliced from 2 exons. Lineage: Eukaryota; Metazoa; Arthropoda; Copepoda; Calanoida; Temoridae. The record is from RefSeq and is a predicted model, not a curated record.